CCUACGGGAGGCAGCAGUGGGGAAUAUUGCACAAUGGGGGGAACCCUGAUGCAGCGACGCCGCGUGGGUGAAGAAGUAUUUCGGUAUGUAGAGCCCUAUCAGCAGGGAAGAAGAUGACGGUACCUGAGUAAGAAGCCCCGGCUAACUACGUGCCAGCAGCCGCGGUAAU
RNAcentral lists this ribosomal RNA (169 nucleotides) under uncultured bacterium. RNAcentral's name for it is "partial 16S ribosomal RNA". It matches the Rfam family "Bacterial small subunit ribosomal RNA", at positions 338 to 524 of the family's 1533-position model. The record is from RNAcentral.